Molecule: long non-coding RNA, 1978 nt
Organism: Papaver somniferum (opium poppy)
Lineage: Eukaryota; Viridiplantae; Streptophyta; Magnoliopsida; Ranunculales; Papaveraceae
Exons: 11
Source: RefSeq, a predicted model, not a curated record
UCCUAAAUUCCUAGCAGAGAAGCGGGAAUAGUACUUAAAGCUAAACCCUUCAAAUUUUGAGAGUAUCUGUCCCCAAUUAUCAAAUGGGGCGAGAUAAAAAUAGAAGGGAACCUAGAAAUUCUUCCGAUGACGAAGAAGAUGAUGAUGUUGAUAAAGUUUCUCGAGAAAUGAAAGAGAUUACAAAAGAAGAAAUCAACGAGUAUUUGGUUAAGAAAGCUCAAAAGAAAUUUUGUGUGGGGAAAGAAGAUUGAUUGAAAGUCGAGUUGGUCAAGGUCAAGUUGGGAGGCACAAGGAGAAGAUGGUGGAGAUUGAGACAGUUAAGAAGCGAAGGGAGGAAAGGGCUAUGGAGAAGUCUCAACACGAGGAGGAAAUGCUUAGUCUGUUAGUGUAAAUUGCAUUCAUUAUGGUGUUUCUUGUCUGUUCAUGACAAUGUGCAUUGCAGUUGGUAUUAUCCUGAGAGCGUGUGAAAGCCGAACUUCAGGGUUGGGAGAAAAAGGAAAAGGAGCAUUAGGUCGGAGUUCAGAUGUCUGUGAGUUCGAAGUUGAUGAACUAGAUGAACCAUGCAUGGCGUUUAAGGGUUUGGCGGUGAAAUAUAUGGAAGAGCUUCUUGUGGACAUGAAUAUGCAUCUGAAUUUGGACUCGGAAACACCUAAUCAUAAAGGGUAUUGGAAGGGACAAUCUUUGGUCUCUGGCAGGGUACGUGGUAACUAUCAGAAGCUCGAAAAAGCGAGCUAGGGUACGUGGAAAGGUACCACCUGCUGAGUUGCUUGCUGAAGAAAGGAGACUAUACUCGAGCAUCGAAGGAGAUGUGGAAUAUCUCUUAUAGAGAAAUCUUUCAGUGAAUAGAAGUGGUACAGAUCGACAUUGAGUCACAGAUGCGUGCUGGCACUGCCAAGGUGAUCGAGUACGGCGAGGCUGUUGUGAAACGACUUCAUAUAUUCAACGCCAAUGCUUUUCUAAAGGAAAUUAUCUGUUGGAUAAGGAAGACUCUGUUGAAAGUUGAGCAUGACGAUCCGAAACCUCAAGCAGAGGAGGAUAUUAAAGAUGUUUGGCCUUACUCUCCCAGACUCAAACUGAAAGAGGAAAGGGUUAUGAGGUAGAGGAAAACCGUGGAUCAUUUUUUCCAGAACUUCUGCAUGAUGAAGAAAAUGAGGAGGCAAUUGAUCCCGACGAGGAUAACGAUGAAACUGGGGCGCGAAUGUGCCAGUAAAGUAAUGGGAGAUAUUGUGGAAGGAGAAGCCGUAUUUAGUUCUGGAGCAGAGUAGACCUAGAUUCACAGGUUUACUGGUGGCGUGACAAAUAUUGUCGUGAAAGCCAAAAUAUUUCAACCGUGUUCUUACUGGAAAUGAGUGGAACAAGUACAAUUAAAACCACUUUGACCAUGAUAAUCCGCCUCCGAAGACUGUGCAAGGCUAUAUGUUUAACAUAUUUUACCCAGACCUCAGUCAUAGACCAAUCUACAGCUCCUACAUAUACCAUAGUAAAAGUGGAAGGUAGCAGUGGUGAGACAUGUCUUAUAAGGUUUCAUGCAGGAUGAUCUUACGAGGACAUUGGAUUUAAGAUUGUUCACAAUUGAAGAGAGGGAGUACUCACACACAAAGGGUUUCAAAUGUUCUUUUGAACGGAGAAUCUUGCAUAUAUACUUUAACUUCAGCUAUUAUCAGUACCGCAUAUAAGUUCAAGCUGCACCCAUGGUGGCACUUCGGAAUUCCUUGGAAGUAAUCCUACACUUGUAGUUCGGGAGAGGUACUAAAGUAAGCCCAUUUUACUGUAUCUCUAGGCUCUAGCUAAUAGAAAAUUUUCUUUGCAAUUAUCUUCUCGACAAAAUGAUGAUUAAAAAGGGCAGCUAUAAUAUUUAUUGAAAUCCAUUGGAUGCUUUAAUAUCUUGACACCUCUCUGAUGGAUUAUCGGAUGUCAGUGAACAGUAUAUGAAGGAAGUAUUUUUGAGGGCCUCAUUGUUAUCUUGCAUUGGUUUUUU